This 574-nucleotide ribosomal RNA is filed under the name uncultured bacterium. RNAcentral describes it as "bacterial SSU rRNA". It matches the Rfam family "Archaeal small subunit ribosomal RNA", at positions 618 to 1187 of the family's 1478-position model. The record is from RNAcentral.
CUCAUGAGUAGGAGUGAAAUCCUGUAGUCUUAUGAGGACCACCAGUGGUGAAGACGUCUGGUUAGAAUAGGUCCGACGGUGAGGGACGAAGGCUGGGGGCGCAAACCGGAUUAGAUACCCGGGUAGUCCCAGCAGUAAACGAUGCCAGCUAUGUGUUGCUGGAACCAUGGGUUCCAGCAGUGCCGAAGGGAAGCCGUGAAGCUGGCCACCUGGGAAGUACGGUCGCAAGGCUGAAACUUAAAGGAAUUGGCGGGGGAGUACCACAACCGGUGGAGCCUGCGGUUUAAUUGGAUACAACGCCGGGAAUCUUACCGGAGGGGACAGCAGUAUGAAGGCCAGGCUAAAGACCUUGCCAGAUCAGCUGAGAGGAGGUGCAUGGCCGUCGCCAGUUCGUACCGUUGAGGCAUCCUGUUUAGUCAGGCAACGAUCGAGACCCGCAGUCUUAUUUGCCAGCAUGCCCUUUGGGGUGUAUGGGUACAAUAAAGACGACCGCCAGCGCUAAGCUGGAGGAAGGAGCGGGGCUACCGUAGGUUCAGCAUGCCCCGAAUCCUCCGGGAUACACGCGGGCUACAAU